RNAcentral lists this ribosomal RNA (852 nucleotides) under Halomonas sp. K0-28L-040. Its description in RNAcentral is "bacterial SSU rRNA". It matches the Rfam family "Bacterial small subunit ribosomal RNA", at positions 48 to 897 of the family's 1533-position model. Lineage: Bacteria; Pseudomonadati; Pseudomonadota; Gammaproteobacteria; Oceanospirillales; Halomonadaceae. The record is from RNAcentral.
CUAACACAUGCGAGUCGAGCGGUAACAGGGGUAGCUUGCUACCCGCUGACGAGCGGCGGACGGGUGAGUAAUGCAUAGGAAUCUGCCCGGUAGUGGGGGAUAACCUGGGGAAACCCAGGCUAAUACCGCAUACGUCCUACGGGAGAAAGGGGGCUCCGGCUCCCGCUAUUGGAUGAGCCUAUGUCGGAUUAGCUAGUUGGUGAGGUAAUGGCUCACCAAGGCGACGAUCCGUAGCUGGUCUGAGAGGAUGAUCAGCCACAUCGGGACUGAGACACGGCCCGAACUCCUACGGGAGGCAGCAGUGGGGAAUAUUGGACAAUGGGCGAAAGCCUGAUCCAGCCAUGCCGCGUGUGUGAAGAAGGCCCUCGGGUUGUAAAGCACUUUCAGCGAGGAAGAACGCCUAGUGGUUAAUACCCACUAGGAAAGACAUCACUCGCAGAAGAAGCACCGGCUAACUCCGUGCCAGCAGCCGCGGUAAUACGGAGGGUGCAAGCGUUAAUCGGAAUUACUGGGCGUAAAGCGCGCGUAGGUGGCUUGAUAAGCCGGUUGUGAAAGCCCCGGGCUCAACCUGGGAACGGCAUCCGGAACUGUCAAGCUAGAGUGCAGGAGAGGAAGGUAGAAUUCCCGGUGUAGCGGUGAAAUGCGUAGAGAUCGGGAGGAAUACCAGUGGCGAAGGCGGCCUUCUGGACUGACACUGACACUGAGGUGCGAAAGCGUGGGUAGCAAACAGGAUUAGAUACCCUGGUAGUCCACGCCGUAAACGAUGUCGACCAGCCGUUGGGUGCCUAGCGCACUUUGUGGCGAAGUUAACGCGAUAAGUCGACCGCCUGGGGAGUACGGCCGCAAGGUUAA